GCACUAGAGCUGCUUUGUUCUCCUGAUUUGAAUUUCAGUGGUUUCUUACAGUUUUUGCUGCUGCUGUAGAGCAUUUAAGCAGGAAGGGAUCCAGUUCAGCCAUCCAGGGACUGGCACCCAAGUUCUUGUUGCAGGUAGCAGGGACCAGCUUGCAAGCUUGAAGUGUGCAGAUGGAACACAGAGCACUCCAGCCACCCAGGCAGAUAUCAGAGGAUGGGCCCUCAGGCACUGAUUCCUGUCUGUCACCUGGGAGAGGCUCCCUGAGGCCAGGUGGAAAUCAUACCCGGAUGCCACCAGAAUGAUGAUUCAGCCCUUUCCGUGCUUGUUCCAGAGGGGAAGCCCAUGAAAGGAGGACAGCCAGUGCUCUCCUGUGUGCCACGUUCCAGAAGCUCAGUCUCACUCUGUCGCGCAGGCUGGAGUGCAGUGGCACGAUCUCGGCUCACUGCAACCUCUGCCUCCCGGAUUCAAGCGCUUCUCCUGCCUCAGCCUCCCAAGUAGCUGGGAUUACAGUGAUUCUGGGAACUGUGGGCAAGAAGAGAGGCGGGAAAGCCAGAGCCAUCCAAUGCUUGUCUUCUGGUGCCCUCCUCCAGGAAGCCAUUCCUGGUGCCCUGGGCGCUGCUCCCAGCCUUGCUCACCCUGGGUCAUCACCGUUUUUGGAGGGGUCUGUGUCCUCCCCAGACUAUAAGACCCAGAAAAGCAGGGCCUGGAGCUAAGUCACAGUCGUGUCCCCAGCAUCCACUGACACAGAGUAAGUGCAUAGUGUGUGCUAAAUGAAUGAAAGAAAAGUGAAAGCAUGAUGAAAGCCCUGUGUUCAGGGUGUGUCUCACUCAACCUGUCUGUCCUGUCAUGGUGACUUGGUGAGAAUUGUUGCCUGAAGGUCUUUAAAGCUCUCUCCCUUCCAGGGCUUCCGCAUGGAGCUGCUUCUCAGCUGUGCCCUAUGGGGUCAGAUGCACUGGGGAAGAACUAAGGCUCUUCUCCACAGCCCACCUUUUGUCCCCUUAGCCCUCCCAACAUAGGACACACCAUGUCCAGGGCUGCAGGAGCCCAGGCUGUCAACAGCAUCAGCAUCCUGCUAGAAGAGGGUAGGGAUGGCUGGUACUCAGAAGAGCCUUCUAGAUUCCUAAGUUUAUUAAUCCUUUCACUGCAACUACUAAGAAAAAUAGGUGUGACAUUAUUACUGGGUUACACACAGUCACACACACACACAAAAAGCGAAAGCAAAAAUUGUCAAGAAUAUGUCAGCUUCCCUCAGGGGAGUGGCUUCUUCAACUUUGAUCCCAAAUGACUUAUUUCAGAGGAAACCUCUCCCCUCUCCUCAGAACAAACACAUUCACACAGGAAGGGAUUAAAUUCCUGCAAAGAAGAAGAAGGAAAACCUUCCACUGGUCCUUUGGUCUUAACUAUCCUGGGCCAUAAUGUAUUUGAGAGUCCAGUAAUGACUGUGGAUUUUUUUGCUCAAAAUAUCACAGAUGAUUGCCAAACAUUGUGAAAUGCCAUUGAAUUGCACACUUGAAAACACACACAUACACAUGAAAACUUAAGUAAACGCAUAUACUUAAUUGUGGGGGCUGCAGGGGGGGAGCGGAAAGAAACAUCCAGACAUCUGGUGGUAAAUAUUCUGCUCUGGUUCAGCUAAAAAUAAAGCCCUUUAUCAGUUUGGUCACUGGAAGGACUUGUUCCCUUCUUGUUGAUGAUCAGAAACCUUAGCAGGAACUAAUUCUCAAGUGUCUGCCUUAACAGAAAAGCCACAAAGAAACAUGGUAAGAGCGUGGCAGAUAACAUCCACGGUGCUAUCGGGAGGUGACAGGUGACUGACCUCAGCCUUGGUGUUCAAGAAGAUUCCAGAAGGUGGGUGACAUUUAAGGGAAAAAUGAAAAAUGAAGAGGGAUGGGAGAAUUGGAGGCAGAAGCCAGAGAGACAUUGUGGUUCUUCCAAGGAACUGUGCUAAGUCGAGGGCAGUGAGAGCCAGGGAAGGUGUAUUAAUCAGGGUUCUCUAGAGGGACACAAUUAAUAGGGUUCUUUAGAGGGACACAAUUUAUAUAUAUAUAUGAGUUUAUUAAGUAGUAUUAACUCACACAAUCACAAGGUCCCACAAUAGGCCAUCUGCAAGCUGAGGAGCAAGGAAGCCAGUCCAUGUCCCAAAGCUGAAGAACGUGGAGUCUGAUGUUCGAGGGAAGGAAGCAUCCAGCACGGGAGAAAGACGUAGGCUGGAAGCUAAGCCAGUCUAGCCUUUUCACGUUUUUCUUCCUGCUUUAUAUUCUGGCUCUGCUGGCAGCUGAUUAGACAGUGUCCACCCACGUUAAGGGUGGGUCUGCCUUUCCCAGCCCACUAAUGCAAAAGUUAAUCUCCUUUGGCAACACCCCUACAGACACACCCAGGAUCAAUACUUUGCAUCCUUCAAUCCAAUCAAGUUGACACUCAGUACUAACCAUCACAGAGGGUGUGCAUGAUGUGGAGGUGGACACUUGGCAUCCAGCCAACUUCUUCAGGACUUUCUGGUCUGCAGAGGCUGGAAGCUUCACACUUUCCUUCCCAGAGGGCCUUGCAGGUGGGGUUCUGGAUACAUUUGAAUCUCUGGUAGCACAGUCAUUGUGUCUCUGGGUGUAUCCACAGUAACAUCUCACAUCCAAGCAAUAGCUCUGAAUGGCUGAAAGGCUGUUCCAGACACAGAAAUGGCACCUGAAUCUUGAGUCUCAGCUCAGCAGAUUGUUCUAGCUUCAUUCCUGGUUGGCAAACCCUGGGGCCUCUCCUCCAGCCUCUCCUAUGACAUGGAGGCUCUUAAUUCACUGGUCUGCAUCAUACGAAGGAUCCUGCCAGAGCAGGGAUUAGGCUUUGGUCAACAGAAGCCACCUUGCAGGGAGCUUCUGAAAUCCCAACAUAGUGUUUGGAGAAAAUGACUCACACAGACUCCUCCUUGUCAGCCAGCAGCGGACAGGCCUCUGGCCUGGGGAAACCCGGCCUUCCUUCUACAUACCUGACAUACCUGCACACCUGAAAUUCCACCUCAUUCCUGCCUGUUUCCUAGCAGGGCUUCCCUGAGGGCAGAUGGAAAGGCCACUCCAAAUCUGCCAGGAGGGAGAUUCCUUCUAUUUUUUCCUGGCAUAAAAGGGCAAGCAGUGGGGGAGCUGCUGACAGCUGGAAAUGCC
RNAcentral lists this long non-coding RNA (3146 nucleotides) under Homo sapiens (human). RNAcentral's name for it is "PREDICTED lncRNA (TCONS_00134400)". The record is from RNAcentral. Lineage: Eukaryota; Metazoa; Chordata; Mammalia; Primates; Hominidae.